AGUGAACGCUGGCGGUAGGCCUAACACAUGCAAGUCGAACGGCAGCACAGUAAGAGCUUGCUCUUACGGGUGGCGAGUGGCGGACGGGUGAGGAAUACAUCGGAAUCUACUUUUUCGUGGGGGAUAACGUAGGGAAACUUACGCUAAUACCGCAUACGACCUACGGGUGAAAGCAGGGGAUCUUCGGACCUUGCGCGAUUGAAUGAGCCGAUGUCGGAUUAGAUAGUUGGCGGGGUAAAGGCCCACCAAGGCGACGAUCCGUAGCUGGUCUGAGAGGAUGAUCAGCCAAACUGGAACUGGGACACGGUCCAGACUCAUACAGGAGGCAGCAGUGGGGAAUGUUGGAGAAUGGGCGCGAGCCUGAUCCAGCCAUACCGAGUGGGUGAAGAAGGCCUUCGGGUUGUAAAGCCCUUUUGUUGGGAAAGAAAAGCAGCAGGUUAAUACCCCGCUGUUCUGACGGUACCCAAAGAAUAAGCACCGGCUAACUUCGUG
Molecule: ribosomal RNA, 492 nt
Filed under: uncultured bacterium
Lineage: Bacteria
Description: partial 16S ribosomal RNA
Rfam family: Bacterial small subunit ribosomal RNA
Source: RNAcentral